CGGACGUAGGUAACCUGCCUGGUAGCGGGGGAUAACUAUUGGAAACGAUAGCUAAUACCGCAUAAGAGUAGAUGUUGCAUGACAUUUGCUUAAAAGGUGCAAUUGCACCACUACCAGAUGGACCUGCGUUGUAUUAGCUAGUUGGUGGGGUAACGGCUCACCAAGGCGACGAUACAUAGCCGACCUGAGAGGGUGAUCGGCCACACUGGGACUGAGACACGGCCCAG
RNAcentral lists this ribosomal RNA (227 nucleotides) under uncultured bacterium. RNAcentral's name for it is "partial 16S ribosomal RNA". It matches the Rfam family "Bacterial small subunit ribosomal RNA", at positions 112 to 334 of the family's 1533-position model. The record is from RNAcentral.